GCGAACUAACGCGCCCUCUUCCAUACAAAUCGAGAAACCUGGCCGCGGAAGGUUUCUCUUCUAAAUAUAUUUUCGGAAAAUUCGCAUUUUAUAUAAGAGUACCGCUGUAAUAAGCGGGUAGUUGUACGUCGAUAAUUGUAUGUGUUCAACGGAUAUCAUUUACUGCGAUUAAGGCUCUAUAUGGCCUGUUAAACUGACUACUAAAAAUAGAACAGUGCCCGAUACAUUAGUAGGAAAAUCUAGUGCGAGGUUUCCAUUCAUAAAAUCUAUCAUUUGGUGGUCGAUGGUGUCGACACGAUAUCGGCGCAUAAUUAAAAUUUAUCGGUGAAUUCACAUCGUUGGCUGGAACAGAGUGACCAAUCAAUAACAGCGUCACCGUUAAAGGAGUUUUCGUCGAAAAACUAUCGGAAACAGGCAAAAUGGCGACCGAGGGCGGACUGGCGCCUGCCGGCGACGGCGACAUGCCCGUGGGCGGGCCCAAGACGCCGCAGCAGAUCGCCGCGCAACGUCGCCUCCAGCAGACACAGGCCCAAGUUGACGAGGUGGUGGACAUCAUGAAAACAAACGUCGAAAAGGUGCUGGAGCGCGAUUCCAAGCUCUCGGAGCUUGAUGAUAGAGCAGACGCACUCCAGCAUGGCGCAUCACAGUUUGAGCAACAGGCCGGAAAGCUGAAAAGCAAAUUCUGGUUGCAGAAUUUAAAGAUGAUGAUAAUCGCGGCUGUGAUCGGUAUCGUCAUCCUGGCUCUGAUCAUUGCCAACUGUGUGUGAACAACUUUGGAGCAGUUUCAUUUAGAAGUAACUUGUUAUAAUGUUUAUAGUAUAACGUUAUUUUAUUGCGUUAAAACUAAGCCUAGUUUGGUCUGUAAACAUCGGGUAAGGAGGAUAGAUGGCUGAGAAGCUCUCUACUGAAUUCCAUCACGUACAGCCUAAUGUCACCAUUUUUUACCUGUCCUCGAGUUCAAUUGGGAGCGCCUUCGAUGAACCCAAUAUCAAUAUUUCCUACAUAAAACUAUUUAUUCUACUAGGCCCACCGUACACUCAGGUGCGGCGUUAACUUAGGUCCAGUCUCUAGUCGUGAUUCACGUUCCCUUAGUGUGCAGCGGGCCCAAAGCAAAAAGUUUAGAUAACUGUAUUUUCUUCACAUCACUAUCAACUGUCGUGACUUUAGGAAAAGUAUUUUUAGAUGAGUUUUCGUUAUUAAAAAUGUUUAUCUUAGAAUAACAAGUGUAAUUUGCUAAACGCUAUACACAACCUAAAGCUUAUUGAAAACGACCAUAUCUCCAAUUUCCAUCUUUGAAUAUCUGAUUAAUGAGAUCGACCUAAGAGAAAUUUAAAAAUUUUAGACCUUAUUUUUUAUUUAUUCGGACCAAGUUUCUUAAUAAUCAUUAUUACCGAUUGUGUUUAUUUUUAUACGCCAAUGUUUAUGAAUUCAUAUUUUCAAUUUCGAAUAAUUUAACUGUUGCUCUUUGAUAAAAUGUCUACAUGUUAUGAAUAUGUUUCUAUCUUGUAAGUAUGUAAUUUCGUAAACUUUUUAAAUGUUGAAUAUAUGGAUAUUGAUCUCACAUAGAAUAGCCGCAGCUGACAUUGUCGUUCUGGUCCACUUUCCUUUAAAAUUCAGUAACUUGUCAGAAAAAUAGUACUUAAACAAAUACUUAUAUUACAUUUUAGAAUGAUUUUACUGCUUCUAUGUACGCAAAUAUAUUACUUUUGAAUUGGGUAACUUGAUGGAUGUGAAUAACGAUCGACUUAGAAUGGUUUGCUUACUCGCUUAGUUUUAGUCAGUCUACAGGCAUUUUGUAGCUGUUUAAACUAAGUACCUAACUUAAUAGUACCUAACUUGGCGGUGAUUUCUAUUUGAAACGAAAAUUUAUAAUAUUCAUGUUGUUGUUUGUAAUAAAUAGAAUUAGACUAAAAAAAUAAUGUUCAUUCCUACGAUCUCAUGUAAUCGUGACUGGCCAAUAUUUUUUAAAUAAUUAUACAUAACCACAUGUUGUAACACAUAUGUAUCUUAUAUCUUUUUCUGUGUGUAUUGUAUGUAAAAACAGCUUUGUAGUUAGAAAGUGUAAAAAGUUUCACUAUAAUUAGGUGUUUUUAUUGUAACCACACAUAGGCUAAAAGCGAGCUAAAGUUAAUAAAGAUAAAUGUUUAUCCAUUGGGGUAAUUGGCCAGUGUUGGAUUAAAACCAGUCAUUAGUAAAUUAAGUCGAGUUCAAGAAAAUAGAAAUUUAUAAUAAGCCAUGUAUGGGUAACAAUGAAUUAGUUUUUAGAUUUAGACACUAUUGUGGCCGGGAAUAGAGGCCUCAGCAUUGUGUCAAUCCUAGGACCGAUAUCGUUCUCCUGGGCCAGGGUUGGCCCGAUAUCGCGCCAGUAUCUCUCUUACUUAUAUUUAAAUACGCUGGGUUUGUGCUGGUCUCAUUCUUCUGAGCCAUAAGAAUUGAGACGGGCAUAAACGGGCCAUAGAAAAAACUACAAGAAUAGAUAUGCAUAUGCACGUCGUGUUGAGUCGUUUUUUAGGUAUAGUAUUCAUAGCCUACUGAAAUUGUUACAAAUACUUACUGACCUCCAUUUUCGAGAUAUUUUUAUACACAUACAUCCAGUACCAGUUAUAUCAGUCAAAAUAAUAUACCCUGAUUAACGAGUUAUAAAAAAUAAUAAAUCUGAACUUAAUAAUUGAUAGAUGGGUGUUCUUAAUAAUAAUUCGAAAAUGGAAGUUAUAAAAAUCACUGUAAGGUAAGGUAAAAAAUACACCAGAUAUAUAUGUUAUAAAUAAAUUUACUUUAAAAUAAGAAUAUUCCAUUAGUGAAAAGGUUUCGAACCGAAAAUUGUUGACAUGUAUUUGUACCUACUAACAUGGUGCAAUAAAUCAGAAAUUAAAGAUACCUAUUCACUGGUGUUGCGUAUUCCGACAUUAUUUGUGGCCAUAUCAUAUUAAGAUCCCAACGCGCUAAAUCUUGAACUUACUUAGGCUCAUUAUUAUUAUUAGGAUAACAAGAAAUUUAUAAAAUGAGCAAUUACACACAACACCUAUUUCUUUUUGCUUCGAAUAUGGCCACAGGUAAUUUAAUUGUGAGAAGACUCAAAACGCAUCGUGUAAAAUUAUGUAAAACCACUAAUCAUGAGAAUAGGUAAAAAUACUUAGAACAUUUUUCUUUUCAUUUUGUUAUUUUGUCAUUCCCCAUAAUAAAAUUCGCAGCAUUAACUCGGUCGCAGUCCGUCUCCCUCGCACUGAUGGGUUAGUGCGAUAGAGGGAAUACGAUCGAGAUCACGCAGUCUCUAACGUAAAUGACAAUGCCAACUCGUGGUAGUCAUGCAGGUGUAUGGGUAUGACAUUGUACCUACUGUAAUAACAUGUAACGAAACUUUAACUAAUUAAUUUAAAUGUUUCGAAUCGUGAAGGUGAAUAGGUUUGAGCAAACACAGUUUCAUUCAUGAUAAGUGGAUUUAUAUUAAAUUUCAAUAUGUGAUGAGACUAGUUUAGACACUAAGUUAUUUAAAAUAUUGAUGAAAGGGUAAAAAAACGUUACCUUUUAGAUAAGUAGAUACCUACUUACUUUGUCUGUAUCUCAUAUUUUUUAAUAUUCCAUCAUUUUGAUGAUGAUUUCAAUGGGAAUGUCGUAAGAAUAUUACCCAAAAUUAUAUAUAUUCAGUACUUAUGUUUAAUUAUAAAUCGGUUUUAAAAUAAACAUAUAAUACCAAGAUUCCGUGUAAGCUAACUCUGCACCGACCUUACAGCGACAAAAUGGGGACGCGCCACUUUUACCCUCAUAUUUUCAUAGGAAUUAGACAUUUAUGGGGUGGUGGCACCUCCACACUCUGUCGGUUGCAAAAUUGAUGCAAAAUUUGCUUUGACAGACAAUAGGUACCUAAUUUGCAAUUUAUCUUGAAUCGUUAUAAGUAGAUGCUUAUGUUAACAAAAUAUUGAAGUGUAAUUUUAACGAAAUUUUUUUAAGGAAUAAUUACAUAAUUUAUCUUUCUUUUAUGAGAAUGCGUAAUUAAAACAUAUUUCUUAUUAAAAUGUAUUUAUAUGUAAACACGUUAUAACAUAUAUAACUGUUAAAUGUUAAAAAAUCAAACAUAAUCUUAACAGUUUAAUGAAUUUUCAAACAAAUAUUUGGUAAAUAUUUACAUUAUUGUAAUUCACCGUGUAUACAUAGCAUAAUAAGUUAUGUACCUAUAUGUAUUAUUAUUGCUUAAAUAAAUAAACCAACAUUAAUUAUUUUAGAACAUUAUUA
This is an RNA transcript of Cydia strobilella, 4230 nucleotides long. It is a transcript of the gene named neuronal synaptobrevin-like, with no coding region annotated. The record is from RefSeq and is a predicted model, not a curated record. Lineage: Eukaryota; Metazoa; Arthropoda; Insecta; Lepidoptera; Tortricidae. The transcript is spliced from 8 exons.